Molecule: long non-coding RNA, 2011 nt
Organism: Cygnus atratus (black swan)
Lineage: Eukaryota; Metazoa; Chordata; Aves; Anseriformes; Anatidae
Exons: 3
Source: RefSeq, a predicted model, not a curated record
AAUUCAAACCCACUCCUUUUUUAAGGUUCCGUUAUGUUAUAGGAAACAGCUUCCGAAAUGAACACUUUUCUCAUGGUACAUUUUGUCAGGUCCUGCGAGAAGGGCUAAGAAAUCACAGAAGAGAACCUCUUCAUAUAGCAAUCCCAGGGAAAAAGAUGGAGAUUCAAGCAAUACCAGAUUGAACAAAAUGGGAUUUAAGAGAUGAAUGGGCUGUGGCUGCUGUUCUUCUUUCUAAGGCAUGAGUUUUAUCCCUGAAGAGCUAAAAUAAGGGAUCUGAUUAACCACUCCAGUUGUAUGCCAGUGCGACAUCGUAAUGUCAUCGCAGUAAUCAGUGGAGUUAGGCAGUCAUAAAAAUAAACUCAUGUAGCAACAGAGGAAGCCAACAGGUCAGAUGAACAAUCAAGACCUUUUUCUGAGUCUAUCUGCAGUCUUUCACUUGCAUCACUUUUCCCCUGCUACGAUGCUUAUAAAAGUUUUGGGCUGUUUGCAGGUGCCAAAAUAUUCUCAGAAUAAAUUUGCACUGAAUUUAAGACAAGCUAACUGAAGACCUCUCCUGAGUCCCUUAUUUUCUCAAAUUCCACAAUUACGAUGUUAUUCUUCCAGAAAUCCCUGAAGAAAGAAAGAAAGGAAAACAUAGAAAUUAGGAGAUUAUUAAUGACUCAAUCAUCUAUGAAUCUCAGAGAUCUGAGAUGGCAAAGGCCCUGACAUACAUCUUCCUGUAGUUUAUGAAGCAGUUAUUUUUACAUUCAGACUAUCAGAUGAAUUGUCACGGAGCCACUCCGCUUCCUCUCAGUUCACCCUCUGAAUGAUAAUGGACUUGGAAGACCUUUUAUUUGCUUGGCUGAUGUUGCUACAUAGUCAGGAUUCAGCACACCACCAGGACAUUUUCAAAUGCUUCACAAGUGACUCAACUGUUUUAUUCUUCAUUAACUUUGACUGGAAUUUAGGCUCCUAUCUCACCUGACUGUUUUAAUUAGUUUGGAAAAUCAAAUAAACUCUUUUUUAAGGAUAAGAGAUAUAGGUGAACUCUCUGUAUUAACCAACUUCUAGGAGUCUCUCUUCAGUACUAACAAAGAACAAUCUGGCACGAAUUAUUUCCUGGUGCUAUUCAGAGACCCUUCAAGACUUCACUUUUUGUUUUCAUAAGAUCACCUUGUAUAAUUGAGGGCUAAAAUGCAGGGCAAUUUGUUCAGAUCCCUCCCCAGUCUGUUUAUCAUCAUGGAUAUAUUCAGCUGACGUAGAAAAAAUGGUUGAACAAAAGAAGAAUCUAAAAUAUUUUAACACAGUGAAUCCAGGCAACUUCUGAAAAUGAAUUUGUUAAAGGCUGUUCAUUUGGAACAAAAUUUGAAAUGAAAGAAACAAUAUUUCAUAGAGAUAAAAAUAUAAAAUCAAAAUUCAGUUGAGUUACUAAAGAAUACCCUGUUCUUUUUUGAUGCAAUUCUUGAACAUUAACAAAAUCCAGUCUCAUGUUAAAUAAAUACUCUCUGAGAGCUCUUUUAAGCAUAAAUAUGAUUGCAGACAUUUGGACAGCAUGAAAGAUGUAUUGAGAUCAUCUUCUAUGGUACUGACUGACCUUGAAAGGUUUCAGAAUAAGAUGUCCUGUUUUACAAAAAAAAAUAUCCUAUUGACAAAGAGCUUCAGAUCAGGUUAGAGACUGGAGCUUCAUGACCGAUCAAAUACAUAGCACAAAUCUUAUUCCUCUUCCUAAUUUAUAUAAUUGAAAUUACUGUCCUUUAUGGGUUUGUUUAUUAGCUGUCUGAGUAAUAAUUAGAGAUGCUGUAAGAUGAGAAAGAUUUAAUAUUAUAUACUUUAUAAGAAAAUGACUUCUGGAUAAUUCACUAAAAAUGUGGUAUCCUCCCCAAGAAAAUACAAAAUGCUGUGAGACAGUGUGAGCUAGAUAAGGUCUCAAGACCUCUACCCUACACCCCAGAUAGGAAGCUACUGUUAGUAGCAUGAAGACCUACUCCAUCUCUGCUGCAGUGAUCCUGAGGAAGCUCUAAGGUGAAGCAGA